AGUGGCGUCUCCGCUGUGUCCUACGGCGGGUCGCUUGGCACCCUCCGGGAGGGGGCCUUAGGCCGCCUGCACGCGCCGACCGGCCCGCAGGACUACACCGUUUGCUCUCUGCCGCAUUCGGGCGCUUUAAGCCUGCUGCUCUCCCACGCCCCACCGCUGUUAGGAAAAACAGCAUAGCAGAGGUUGCGGGCUGUGUUAUUUCUCCCUUGGCGAUCUGUCGUGGAGACCAGGAGCUGGGUUUUCCAAAUUGGCCCCUUAAAAUACAUACGCGUCUAGGAGUAAUUUGUUUAAGUACGAGUAGCAUUGAACAGUAGGUCCCACUGUAAUAUUUUUGCCUUUGUCGGCCCCUGAAAAUAGCUAAGUGAAUAUUGGGUCAUGUUUUCAGGCACUGCUCUCAAAGACAAAAUCCCCGGCUUGUGGUCAAAAGCAAGGCGGCUUCUGUUUUUCUUAAACACGCUUCUUCCCAUAUGUGAACAAAUCUCUUAGGCGUAGGAAGAAGCCCACCCUUAAAAUUUUCAGGAGGACGGUAUAGAUGAUCUCCCUGGACGAUAAUAGAAGACAGCAUUUGGUCCUAAAUAUUUUUAAGCCAAUUCAGCGUCUUCAGAUUUUUAACCUAUAAUAAGCUAUCCGUGUAUCUUCAUUAUUAAAAAAAAAUUAUUUCUGUGAAAUCAAAUAAUCAAAGUUUCAAGUUUGAACUUCAUGGUCAAAGGUAGGAUGGGAAUCAGCGACACCUCGGUGGCUCAGUCGUACCUCUUAUAGAAUAAGGACUCGGGCAACUGUCCAACCACCCACCUUUCAAUCUGGCUCUGGCUGUGGUUGAGGAAGCAUUAUGUGAGCAGCAGAAGCUGAAAGAGGAGGCGGUCUACUCAGAAAAGGAAUAUGGCAGAUACUGCAAAAACAAGAAGACUGAGAAAACAGGAGGCAAGAGAACCUCGGAACCUACGGAAUGUCAUGUUUCUGUGUGGAAGUUUGCUAACUCACUCUCCACUUCUGGAGUGGCCGAACUGACAGCAAUCUCCGUUUCCUCCAAUGCUUCAUUUAUCACUGUCCUAGAUGACUGGGGACUGAAGGGGUGUUUGCCCAGGCGACAAGUUUUGUUUUGUCUUGUUUUCUGAGCCAUUCUCUGUUAGUUUCCUUCAGGACCAUGUUUGGGUUUUUCUAUGUGUCAUGUGGGUGGGUAUUAACUACUUUUGUUUGAAAUGGUUCCACUCAGUCCUACUCCAGUAUAGCCACUGGAGGGUAGGACCUAUUAAGAGCCCCAUCUUUCCUUUGGUGGGGCUUAUGAGUGUCCUGAGUUGUUGCAAAAAGGAUUUUUUCCAUUAGGUAGAUCUCUUGGGCUAAGAAAAAUGCUAAGACAAGGGUGGGUUGCUGGACCACACGUGGCUACGUAGAGGCACCUGUUGGUGGCAUGCCUUCACUUGAGGACAAUGAGUGCAGCAGAAGGGGCUCAUCUGCACAGGCAAACAUCCACUGAAUUCUGGACUGAUCUCUCACGUGGCAACCUGGUCCUGACAACUGACCAUGCUCCCUGGGGCCCAGGUAGAGCAGCCUCCUGAUGCUCACUCUCAGCUUCCUGCAGCCCCUUUAAGUCCUAGAAGCUUUACUGCCUUCCUUUCCCAGGAACUCUCACCCAUGGCAACUCCAAUGUUCAAUGGAUCUGGGGAUCUUCAU
Long non-coding RNA from Mustela erminea (ermine), 1671 nucleotides. RefSeq lists it as uncharacterized. The transcript is spliced from 3 exons. The record is from RefSeq and is a predicted model, not a curated record. NCBI's taxonomy places the organism in Eukaryota, Metazoa, Chordata, Mammalia, Carnivora, Mustelidae.